This 825-nucleotide long non-coding RNA is filed under the name Homo sapiens (human). RNAcentral's name for it is "HSALNT0314573". Lineage: Eukaryota; Metazoa; Chordata; Mammalia; Primates; Hominidae. The record is from RNAcentral.
UCACCCCACUGCACUCCAGCCUGGGCGACAGAGCAAGACUGACUCAAUUUAAAAAAAAAAAGAUAAAAAUGGUGCAUCUCUAUAGGGCGUUUACCAUGCCUGGAGCUUGUGGGACUGGAAGUUGCUCUGGAAUCACUUCCUGGCUGGGAAUUGAACCCAGACUGCUGCAGUGAAAGAGCAUAAUGUUAGCUACUGGCCCACAGCAUGAGACUCCCGGUCCUGUUUGUUGCUCAUCCCCAGAUACGCAGCCUGGUCUACAGGAAGAAUUCUAUGUAUAUUUGCUGAAGAGACAAAGAAGGAUGUGGAUGAAUUGGAUGUGGAGAAUGAGAGGAAAGAAAAUGUCAAGGAUGGCUCUAAUUUCUGGCUUAUGCAACUGAGUGGUGCCAUUGAGAGAGACUCUCUCUCUUGCCUUCUUGGUUGGCACACUGGGGAGAAGCGAGCUGCAGCGUUGGAGAGGCCCAUGUGGCAAGGGACUGAGAGCAGCCUCUGGCCAACAGCCGGUAAGCAACCAGUGAGCAACCGAGGCCCUCAGUCCCACAGCAUGUGAGGAACUGAGUCCUGCCAAUGAUCAUGUGAUACUGAAGGAGGGUCUUUCUUUAGCUGAUCCUACAGAUGAGAAUCUAGCCCUUGUGCUGCCUCAUGAGAGACCCUGGAGCAGAGGCCCCAGCUGAGCUAUGCCUGGAUUCCUACCCACAGAAACUGGAAGACAAUAAAAGUGUCGUUUAUGUUUUUUUAUUCUGGUAAAAAUCAUAUAACAUGAAAUUUUUCCAUUCUAACCAUUAAAAACAUGUCUUUUUGUGUGUGUGAGACAGGGUUUCGUUCUGU